GCAGCGAAAUGCGAUAACUAAUGUGAAUUGCAGAAUUCAGUGAAUCAUCGAAUCUUUGAACGCACAUUGCGCCCCCUGGUAUUCCGGGGGG
This 91-nucleotide ribosomal RNA is filed under the name Teratosphaeria destructans. RNAcentral's name for it is "partial 5.8S ribosomal RNA". It matches the Rfam family "5.8S ribosomal RNA", at positions 45 to 135 of the family's 154-position model. Rfam says of the family: 5.8S ribosomal RNA (5.8S rRNA) is a component of the large subunit of the eukaryotic ribosome. It is transcribed by RNA polymerase I as part of the 45S precursor that also contains 18S and 28S rRNA. The record is from RNAcentral. Lineage: Eukaryota; Fungi; Ascomycota; Dothideomycetes; Mycosphaerellales; Teratosphaeriaceae.